AUUUAAACUAUGAUGAAGAGAGUAAAUAUAAAAAUUAUUUUUAGGAAGAAAAGGUCAUAGACUGCAAGCCUUUUUAUUAAUUUUUAUUUUGAAGUUCACUUCUGAGUUCUAACUAUGAAAUUAUUAGUAGUAGUUAGCGGUGAUUAACCGAUAUCAUAUUGAGAUGAACACAUAUAAUAUAAGUGUUAAUCAGGGUGGUACCGCGGAUAAAAAUUCGUCCCUUUU
This 225-nucleotide non-coding RNA is filed under the name Clostridium tetanomorphum. Its description in RNAcentral is "T-box sequence". It matches the Rfam family "T-box leader". Rfam says of the family: Uncharged tRNA acts as the effector for transcription antitermination of genes in the T-box leader family. T-boxes are found upstream of many aminoacyl-tRNA synthetase genes and some amino acid biosynthetic genes usually in Gram-positive bacteria. The anticodon of a specific tRNA base pairs to a specifier sequence within the T-box motif, and the NCCA acceptor tail of the tRNA base pairs to a conserved bulge in the T-box antiterminator hairpin. Lineage: Bacteria; Bacillati; Bacillota; Clostridia; Eubacteriales; Clostridiaceae. The record is from RNAcentral.